Non-coding RNA from Equus caballus (horse), 135 nucleotides. The record is from RefSeq. Lineage: Eukaryota; Metazoa; Chordata; Mammalia; Perissodactyla; Equidae.
UCCAUCUCCAGGGUCUCCCACAAAGAGGUCGCUUCCUGCAGGGUCAAGGACAAGGUCAGUUAGGCCAUGCUCCCUUCGGCAUGUGUCCCAGGCCCUUGAUCUUGGACCCUGGACAUCUCGUGUGUGUGGCUGCUC